RNAcentral lists this ribosomal RNA (360 nucleotides) under uncultured eukaryote. RNAcentral describes it as "partial 18S ribosomal RNA". It matches the Rfam family "Eukaryotic small subunit ribosomal RNA", at positions 592 to 976 of the family's 1831-position model. The record is from RNAcentral.
CAAUAGCAUAUAUUAACGUUGUUGCAGUUGAAAAGCUCGUAGUUGAACUUUUGGUAGGAGCGACCUGGCCUUGGGCGCAUGCCCUUGUUUGCCGUGUGUCGUGUCUGGCCAUCCUUUUCCGCUUCGGCGGGAAUCUUUUACUGUGAGUAAACUGGAGUGCUCAAAACAAGACGUUUGUUUGGUACAUUAAAGCAUGGAAUAAUAAGAUAGGACCUGGUUACUAUUUUGUUGGUUCGCAUAGCUAGGUAAUGAUUAACAGGGACAGUUGGGGGUAUUCGUAUUUAAUUGUCAGAGGUGAAAUUCUUGGAUUUAUGAAAGACGAACGACUGCGAAAGCAUUUACCAAGGAUGUUUUCAUUAA